AGAAAUACGUGGCAAACGGCUCAGUAACACGUAGUCAACAUGCCCAGGGGACGUGGAUAACCUCGGGAAACUGAGGAUAAACCGCGAUAGGCCAUGAUUUCUGGAAUGGUUCAUGGCCGAAAUCUAUAUGGCCCCUGGAUUGGACUGCGGCCGAUCAGGCUGUUGGUGAGGUAAUGGCCCACCAAACCUGUAACCGGUACGGGCUCUGAGAGGAGGAGCCCGGAGAUGGGCACUGAGACAAGGGCCCAGGCCCUAUGGGGCGCAGCAGGCGCGAAAUCUCUGCAAUAGGCGAAAGCUUGACAGGGUUACUCUGAGUGAUUCCCGCUAAGGGGAUCUUUUGGCACCUUUAAAAAUGGUGCAGAAUAAGGGGUGGGCAAGUCUGGUGUCAGCCGCCGCGGUAAUACCAGCACCCCGAGUGGUCGGGACGAUUAUUGGGCCUAAAGCAUCCGUAGCCGGUACUGCAAGUCUUCCGUUAAAUCCACCUGCUUAACAGUUGGGCUGCGGGGGAUACUACAGCGCUAGGAGGCGGGAGAGGCAAGCGGUACUCAAUGGGUAGGGGUAAAAUCCGCUGAUCCAUUGAAGACCACCAGUGGCGAAGGCGGCUUGCCAGAACGCGCUCGACGGUGAGGGAUGAAAGCUGGGGGAGCAAACCGGAUUAGAUACCCGGGUAGUCCCAGCUGUAAACGAUGCAGACUCGGUGAUGGGCUGGCCUUGUGCCAACCCAGUGCCGCAGGGAAGCCGUUAAGUCUGCCGCCUGGGG
This 760-nucleotide ribosomal RNA is filed under the name uncultured archaeon. RNAcentral's name for it is "bacterial SSU rRNA". It matches the Rfam family "Archaeal small subunit ribosomal RNA", at positions 70 to 833 of the family's 1478-position model. The record is from RNAcentral.